RNAcentral lists this ribosomal RNA (748 nucleotides) under uncultured Lachnospiraceae bacterium. RNAcentral describes it as "bacterial SSU rRNA". It matches the Rfam family "Bacterial small subunit ribosomal RNA", at positions 28 to 776 of the family's 1533-position model. The record is from RNAcentral. Lineage: Bacteria; Bacillati; Bacillota; Clostridia; Lachnospirales; Lachnospiraceae.
GAUGAACGCUGGCGGCGUGCUUAACACAUGCAAGUCGAACGAAGCUGCUAAAAGGAAGUCUUCGGACAGAAUUUUAGUAGACUUAGUGGCGGACGGGUGAGUAACGCGUGGAUAACCUGCCUUAUACAGGGGGAUAACGGAGAGAAAUUUCCGCUAAGACCGCAUAAGACCACAGCACCGCAUGGUGCAGGGGUAAAAUAUUUAUAGGUAUAAGAUGGAUCCGCGUCCGAUUAGCUAGUUGGUGAGGUAGAGGCUCACCAAGGCGACGAUCGGUAGCCGGCCUGAGAGGGUGAACGGCCACAUUGGGACUGAGACACGGCCCAAACUCCUACGGGAGGCAGCAGUGGGGAAUAUUGGACAAUGGGGGAAACCCUGAUCCAGCGACGCCGCGUGAGUGAAGAAGUAUUUCGGUAUGUAGAGCUCUAUCAGCAGGGAAGAAAAUGACGGUACCUGACUAAGAAGCCCCGGCUAACUACGUGCCAGCAGCCGCGGUAAUACGUAGGGGGCAAGCGUUAUCCGGAUUUACUGGGUGUAAAGGGAGCGCAGACGGCGAAGCAAGUCUGAAGUGAAAUGCAUGGGCUCAACCCAUGAAUUGCUUUGGAAACUGUUUGGCUUGAGUGUCGGAGGGGUAAGCGGAAUUCCUAGUGUAGCGGUGAAAUGCGUAGAUAUUAGGAGGAACACCGGAGGCGAAGGCGGCUUACUGGACGACAACUGACGUUGAGGCUCGAAGGCGUGGGGAGCAAACAGG